UGCGUAGGCGGAUUUAUAAGUCAGUGGUGAAAUCCUACAGCUUAACUGUAGAACUGCCAUUGAUACUGUAGAUCUUGAGUACGGCUGAGGUGGGCGGAAUGUGUCAUGUAGCGGUGAAAUGCUUAGAUAUGACACAGAACACCAAUUGCGAAGGCAGCUCGCUAAACCGUAACUGACGCUGAGGCACGAAAGCGUGGGGAGCGAACAGGAUUAGAUACCCUGGUAGUCC
RNAcentral lists this ribosomal RNA (229 nucleotides) under uncultured bacterium. Its description in RNAcentral is "partial 16S ribosomal RNA". It matches the Rfam family "Bacterial small subunit ribosomal RNA", at positions 568 to 796 of the family's 1533-position model. The record is from RNAcentral.